Molecule: long non-coding RNA, 1311 nt
Filed under: Marmota monax (woodchuck)
Lineage: Eukaryota; Metazoa; Chordata; Mammalia; Rodentia; Sciuridae
Source: RNAcentral
UUUCAGCUGUGCAUCCAUUAAGUAUAGUUGCAUGUAUUACACAUGCAUUCUGUUCAAUGGUGUUCAUUUAAAAAAAAAUGAAAGAAAUUAAUUUUUGUAGCUUUUCUGCCUUCAUUUGUUUAAUCUAUGGGAUUUGUUCUAAAUCCUUUCUGGAGGAUCAUGGAUUAUUUUUAAUUUUGGGGCCCCCUUUGUUUUUUCACAGUAAUGUUUCCUUUUUGUUUAUUUACAAGGUAUGCACAGAAUGAAUUCUGUAAGAGGAGCAAUGUACAUGUCUUAAUGGGGAAAAGAUGAUUGGUGAGGAUGCAGGUAUGUUUGUGUAGUUCAUGGUGGCUGUAGUUUUCUUAGUGAAUUAAAGGGAGAAUUAUCACAUGAAUCUAGAGCAUGGCUGGAAAAGAUAUGAUGUUUUAGUAAACCAAAGACAAGAUAUGGUAGUCUUAUGAAAACUUAAAAACCUUUAGACAAUGUUAAAUGCCAAUUUAAGGUUUGUAACCACUAGUUCAUAGUGAAAGCAGUCAAUCCUGCCUUGUAGAUUUUUUUCCCAGCAAUGUACAGCUACCAAUAAGAAUAGAUGCUGAGUUCAUCCAAAGUUGAGGCAUUUGUAUGUUGGAGAGAAAUCAAGAUGAAUAAUAUAAGCAAAUGUACAGGAGAGAUUUUGAUGAACCAAUCAAAACUGUGCAAGAAGAGUGUGGUAAAAGGGGACCAAGGGAUGGUGAAUAAAUUUUGGGGGUUAAUUGAUUGACAGCUUGUUCAAGUCAAAACAUUUUUCUUGGGCUGUGGGGUGCUUCAACAGAUGAACUGUAAGUUUAAGAGGUAGUGGGUAUAAGAUACCUGAAAUCAUCAGAGGUUUAGAGUCAAGAAAGUAUAAAGCCAGAGGAAUUGUCUGAGUGAAUGGUAAGAUCUUGGAGGUUUCCCUUGAUAGCCUAUCAAAUCAUGCAUGUCUUGACACCCCAUCUUUCACUUCAGAUGUGUCUUAUGCUGCCUCAUCUUAUCUCAGUAAAUUUGAGUCACUUGGGUCUUCUCUUAGUUCUUUCCUUUCUUGGAGCAUUCACACUAGAUGCUGGUUUUAUUAUGUAAAUUCCCAUCUUAAAGACGUUCUAUGAUCUGCCUCCCUCACCCAUAUUCUACCCACACAUUUUACAUCUCUCCUUUCUUUGUCUCUCAAUUUAUGUUGUAUCAAAAGCAUGUUUUUCCACAUCAUAUUAUAUUCCUCGAUACUCAUACCACAUAUCAUUCUUCAUUGUUAUAAUUAUGUUUUAAAUAUUUUUAGACAUUAAUGGGCCUUUGUUUUAUUUAUUUACAUGUGGUGCUGAG